This 223-nucleotide ribosomal RNA is filed under the name uncultured bacterium. Its description in RNAcentral is "partial 16S ribosomal RNA". It matches the Rfam family "Bacterial small subunit ribosomal RNA", at positions 28 to 238 of the family's 1533-position model. The record is from RNAcentral.
GAUGAACGCUGGCGGCGUGCCUAAUACAUGCAAGUCGAACGGCACAGCGAAAGGUGCUUGCACCUUUCAAGUGAGUGGCGAACGGGUGAGUAACACGUGGACAACCGUGCCUCAAGGCUGGGGAUAACAUUUGGAAACAGAUGCUAAUACCGAAUAAAACUCAGUGUCGCAUGACACAAAGUUAAAAGGCGCUUUGGCGUCACCUAGAGAUGGAUCCGCGGUG